Molecule: ribosomal RNA, 492 nt
Filed under: uncultured bacterium
Lineage: Bacteria
Description: partial 16S ribosomal RNA
Rfam family: Bacterial small subunit ribosomal RNA
Source: RNAcentral
AGUGAACGCUGGCGGUAGGCCUAACACAUGCAAGUCGAACGGCAGCACAGUAAGAGCUUGCUCUUACGGGUGGCGAGUGGCGGACGGGUGAGGAAUACAUCGGAAUCUACUUUUUCGUGGGGGAUAACGUAGGGAAACUUACGCUAAUACCGCAUCCGACCUACGGGUGAAAGCAGGGGAUCUUCGGACCUUGCGCGAUUGAAUGAGCCGAUGUCGGAUUAGCUAGUUGGCGGGGUAAAGGCCCACCAAGGCGACGAUCCGUAGCUGGUCUGAGAGGAUGAUAAGCCACACUGGAACGUAGACACGGUCCAGACUCCUAAGGGAGGCAGCAGUGGGGAAUAUUGGACAAUGGGCGCAAGCCUGAUCCAGCCAUACCGCGUGGGUGAAGAAGGCCUUCGGGUUGUAAAGCCCUUUUGUUGGGAAAGAAAAGCAGCAGGUUAAUACCCCGCUGUUCUGACGGUACCCAAAGAAUAAGCACCGGCUAACUUCGUG